RNAcentral lists this ribosomal RNA (425 nucleotides) under uncultured bacterium. Its description in RNAcentral is "partial 16S ribosomal RNA". It matches the Rfam family "Bacterial small subunit ribosomal RNA", at positions 354 to 796 of the family's 1533-position model. The record is from RNAcentral.
GUGGGGAAUCUUCCGCAAUGGGCGAUAGCCUGACGCAGCCAUGCCGCGUGAAUGAUGAAGGUCUUAGGAUUGUAAAAUUCUUUCACCGGGGACGAUAAUGACGGUACCCGGAGAAGAAGCCCCGGCUAACUUCGUGCCAGCAGCCGCGGUAAUACGAAGGGGGCUAGCGUUGCUCGGAAUUACUGGGCGUAAAGGGCGCGUAGGCGGACAGUUUAGUCAGAGGUGAAAGCCCAGGGCUCAACCUUGGAAUUGCCUUUGAUACUGGCUGUCUUGAGUACGGGAGAGGUGAGUGGAACUCCGAGUGUAGAGGUGAAAUUCGUAGAUAUUCGGAAGAACACCAGUGGCGAAGGCGACUCACUGGCCCGUUACUGACGCUGAGGCGCGAAAGCGUGGGGAGCAAACAGGAUUAGAUACCCCGGUAGUCC